CCUACCCCCAAGUGAGGAAUACCGGCGAGAAAUCGCCGACAAGACCGCAUACGCUCUCUCUUUCACCAGAGAGAGAGAGCAAAGCUUCGCAAGAGGCGCUUGAGGAUGGGCCUGUGGCCGAUUAGCUAGUUGGUAGGGUAAUGGCUUACCAAGGCGACGAUCGGUAGCUGGUCUGAGAGGACGAUCAGCCACACUGGGAUUGAGAACGGCCCAG
Molecule: ribosomal RNA, 214 nt
Filed under: uncultured bacterium
Lineage: Bacteria
Description: partial 16S ribosomal RNA
Rfam family: Bacterial small subunit ribosomal RNA
Source: RNAcentral